RNAcentral lists this transfer RNA (75 nucleotides) under Nanobdellota archaeon. RNAcentral's name for it is "tRNA-Pro". It matches the Rfam family "tRNA". Rfam says of the family: Transfer RNA (tRNA) molecules are approximately 80 nucleotides in length. Lineage: Archaea; Nanobdellati; Nanobdellota. The record is from RNAcentral.
GAGGCCGUAGUGUAGCUUGGAACAUCACUCCAGCCCGGGGUGCUGGCAACCGGGGUUCGAAUCCUCGCGGCCUCA